Molecule: long non-coding RNA, 1104 nt
Organism: Jatropha curcas
Lineage: Eukaryota; Viridiplantae; Streptophyta; Magnoliopsida; Malpighiales; Euphorbiaceae
Source: RefSeq, a predicted model, not a curated record
GCUAAUCACAGAAAAGCUCAUACAUCGGUCAUGAACUCGUGAUCUUCCCGACGCGAAAUAUCAAAUAUCACUCUCCCACCAAUUUUCAGACCGGGAAGGAAGAGCAAAUUCACCAUCCAGCAUAAGAAUAGCGGGUAUCAUGUUUGGUUUCGAUCGCAGAUUGGAUAGAAAGAGAGAGGAAAGAACUGGAAUUUACAUCCAAAAAUCAAUUUUUCUUUCUUUUUCCCAAUUUUCCAUAACUGGAACAACUGAGAUAGCUUAGUAGAUAUCAGAGGAAAGAACGAAAUUUACUGUCAAAAUGACAACAGUUAUGGAGGAAUUAUGAAAUUCCCAAAAAGGCUGCGUCUGGUUAAUAAUUACUUUGAUUACAAUUUACACCAAAUCGGUGAGAGAGCCUACAAUCUUUAUCGGGUCACGGAGCUAAUAAAUUGUAACUUGAUAAUGGAAGAUGAUCCUAUCUCUUCUCCUACUCCGAAUGACAUAGUGUCGCCAGGAUUAGGUGUUUUGAAAGUAAAAGCUGGUUCUUUUGGAGAGGGGAAAUUUAUUUCACUGCUUAACAUCAAAACAACUUCUGACAUUGUUGGUCUGUACACUGCAUGUUCUUGAACGCAUAAGAGCCCUAUUUUGAGUGCAUCUCCUGGCUUCAUGGAGAGGAUAUGACUUUUCCAGUGAUGAAUCAACUAUCUCCAAUAUUCUUUCUUCUAUCCACUGCUCCCACACCUGUUGGGUUCAAAGCAUUAGCAUGCAGAUGAUGAACUAUCAAGUGUAACUUCAAUAGCUUGUAAACAACAAUAUCUAAAACUACAAGUUUCCUUCACUUACAUGUCCUAGCAAGCUCAAGUAAGAAUCCUCUUGGUGAAAGUCAUUGCUCUUCUUGCCACUCAAAAUCUCCAAUAAUAUGACCCCAAAAUAUCUCUAAUUCUUUCACAAUUGACUUUUUUUCACCUAAGCUAAUAGUUAAAUAGUUCAAAACUAUGUACUUAACUUUUAUACUGUGCAUGAUGAGAAGGUUCCAAAUUGUCAGUUACGUAUAUGCCAUGUAAAUGUAAUGUAAUUUAUUUGACUCCCCUUUUGUUUGUGAUAAUUCGUCGAAAGAUUAUUCAA